Molecule: ribosomal RNA, 1334 nt
Filed under: Lactiplantibacillus pentosus
Lineage: Bacteria; Bacillati; Bacillota; Bacilli; Lactobacillales; Lactobacillaceae
Description: bacterial SSU rRNA
Rfam family: Bacterial small subunit ribosomal RNA
Source: RNAcentral
CUUGCAUCAUGAUUUACAUUUGAGUGAGUGGCGAACUGGUGAGUAACACGUGGGAAACCUGCCCAGAAGCGGGGGAUAACACCUGGAAACAGAUGCUAAUACCGCAUAACAACUUGGACCGCAUGGUCCGAGUUUGAAAGAUGGCUUCGGCUAUCACUUUUGGAUGGUCCCGCGGCGUAUUAGCUAGAUGGUGGGGUAACGGCUCACCAUGGCAAUGAUACGUAGCCGACCUGAGAGGGUAAUCGGCCACAUUGGGACUGAGACACGGCCCAAACUCCUACGGGAGGCAGCAGUAGGGAAUCUUCCACAAUGGACGAAAGUCUGAUGGAGCAACGCCGCGUGAGUGAAGAAGGGUUUCGGCUCGUAAAACUCUGUUGUUAAAGAAGAACAUAUCUGAGAGUAACUGUUCAGGUAUUGACGGUAUUUAACCAGAAAGCCACGGCUAACUACGUGCCAGCAGCCGCGGUAAUACGUAGGUGGCAAGCGUUGUCCGGAUUUAUUGGGCGUAAAGCGAGCGCAGGCGGUUUUUUAAGUCUGAUGUGAAAGCCUUCGGCUCAACCGAAGAAGUGCAUCGGAAACUGGGAAACUUGAGUGCAGAAGAGGACAGUGGAACUCCAUGUGUAGCGGUGAAAUGCGUAGAUAUAUGGAAGAACACCAGUGGCGAAGGCGGCUGUCUGGUCUGUAACUGACGCUGAGGCUCGAAAGUAUGGGUAGCAAACAGGAUUAGAUACCCUGGUAGUCCAUACCGUAAACGAUGAAUGCUAAGUGUUGGAGGGUUUCCGCCCUUCAGUGCUGCAGCUAACGCAUUAAGCAUUCCGCCUGGGGAGUACGGCCGCAAGGCUGAAACUCAAAGGAAUUGACGGGGGCCCGCACAAGCGGUGGAGCAUGUGGUUUAAUUCGAAGCUACGCGAAGAACCUUACCAGGUCUUGACAUACUAUGCAAAUCUAAGAGAUUAGACGUUCCCUUCGGGGACAUGGAUACAGGUGGUGCAUGGUUGUCGUCAGCUCGUGUCGUGAGAUGUUGGGUUAAGUCCCGCAACGAGCGCAACCCUUAUUAUCAGUUGCCAGCAUUAAGUUGGGCACUCUGGUGAGACUGCCGGUGACAAACCGGAGGAAGGUGGGGAUGACGUCAAAUCAUCAUGCCCCUUAUGACCUGGGCUACACACGUGCUACAAUGGAUGGUACAACGAGUUGCGAACUCGCGAGAGUAAGCUAAUCUCUUAAAGCCAUUCUCAGUUCGGAUUGUAGGCUGCAACUCGCCUACAUGAAGUCGGAAUCGCUAGUAAUCGCGGAUCAGCAUGCCGCGGUGAAUACGUUCCCGGGCCUUGUACACA